RNAcentral lists this ribosomal RNA (587 nucleotides) under uncultured bacterium. RNAcentral describes it as "bacterial SSU rRNA". It matches the Rfam family "Bacterial small subunit ribosomal RNA", at positions 338 to 916 of the family's 1533-position model. The record is from RNAcentral.
CCUACGGGAGGCAGCAGUGGGGAAUUUUGGACAAUGGGCGCAAGCCUGAUCCAGCCAUGCCGCGUGUGGGAAGAAGGCCUUCGGGUUGUAAACCACUUUUGUCAGGGAAGAAACGGUCUGAACUAAUACUUUGGGCUAAUGACGGUACCUGAAGAAUAAGCACCGGCUAACUACGUGCCAGCAGCCGCGGUAAUACGUAGGGUGCAAGCGUUAAUCGGAAUUACUGGGCGUAAAGCGUGCGCAGGCGGCUUUGCAAGACAGAUGUGAAAUCCCCGGGCUCAACCUGGGAACUGCAUUUGUGACUGCAAGGCUAGAGUACGGCAGAGGGGGAUGGAAUUCCGCGUGUAGCAGUGAAAUGCGUAGAUAUGCGGAGGAACACCGAUGGCGAAGGCAAUCCCCUGGGCCUGUACUGACGCUCAUGCACGAAAGCGUGGGGAGCAAACAGGAUUAGAUACCCUGGUAGUCCACGCCCUAAACGAUGUCAACUGGUUGUUGGGAGGGUUUCUUCUCAGUAACGAAGCUAACGCGUGAAGUUGACCGCCUGGGGAGUACGGCCGCAAGGUUGAAACGUCGAAAGGAAUUGACGG